This 66-nucleotide non-coding RNA is filed under the name Subdoligranulum variabile. Lineage: Bacteria; Bacillati; Bacillota; Clostridia; Eubacteriales; Oscillospiraceae. The record is from RNAcentral.
AGCCGAAACGGCCCUGCGGGGCCGUCUGCCGGGGAUGGCCGCCCGAUACUGAUGAGGCAGGCCAGA